AUGGCGCCGCCGCAUCCAGCGCCACCGCCGGAGACGCCGAUCUUCCGAACCCCAGACGAGCUCCUCCACGACAUCUUCUUCCGCCUCCCCACUGCCGCCGACCUGGCCCGCGCCUCCGCGGCGUGCCCCUCCUUCCGCCGUCUCAUCACCGACCACGCCUUCCUCCGUCGCUACCGCGCCCUCCACCCGCCGCCUCUCGUCGGCGCGUUCGACGACAGCGCCUUCAUCCCGGCCCAGCCGCCGCACCCCUCCGCCGUCGCCGCCCGCGCCUUCGCCGGCUUCGACUUCUCCUGCUCCUCCUUCCUCCCGUCCACCGCCAGCCUUACCUGGAGCGCGAUUGACUUCUUGGACGGACGCGCCCUCCUCGAUAGCGCCCCAGUCCCACGCGAACGCGGCAGCUCUCAUCUGCGCGGCCUCCAGUACCGCUAUUUGUCGGCCAGGGACCUCGCCGUGUGCGACCCCGUGCACCGCCGCUACAUCCUGCUUCCCGCCGUCCCCGGCCACCUGAAAGCGCUGGUCAGUGAACCGGACCUCCUCCAUCUGGAGACUUUCCUUGCUCCCGGCGAUGAUGAGGAGGACCCGUUGUCAUUCAGGGUAAUGUGCUUGGUGCAAUGCAGAACGAAUAUGGUGCUGCUCGUCUUCUCCUCGUUGGACGGGCAGUGGCAUUCUCUUGCAUUUGACCUGUGGAGUGCUCAGGCUCCACUUGAAGACCCCAGGGAUGGGCUCUCAGAUCGUCAGUUCGUCCACGGAUGCUUCUGUUGGCAUUUUCCCCUCCUGAACAAGUUGGUUCUGCUUGAUACACGCACCAUGGAGUUCUCUGCUGUCAACCUACCUCCUGAACUAGGAUGGAGUAGCGAUUUUGUCAUUGUCGAGGCAGCAGAAGGAAUGCUCGGAAUGCUCGCUGAAGUUUAUGACAAGGACAACAUAUAUGACCCAUGUUGGCUGAAUUAUUCCAUUCUGAGAAAUAACCAAUGGCACUUGGAGAAGGUCAUCCCGUUGCCGGGACUGCAUCAUGUUGUUCUGCUUGGUGUAGGCGGGGGAUACCUGCUCAUAGGAGCCAUGUACAUCACAUCUUCUGGAGAGGAGGUGAAGUUUGGGUUAUUUUCGGUGGACGUCAAGACGUUGCAGGUCGAGUUGUUCGCUCAGCGUAGCAAAGUCAUCUUCUCUGGUCGACUAUAUGCUGGUUUCCCACCAUCAUUAUGUGCACCAACCAUAUGA
RNAcentral lists this ribosomal RNA (1218 nucleotides) under Triticum aestivum (bread wheat). RNAcentral describes it as "partial small subunit ribosomal RNA". The record is from RNAcentral. Lineage: Eukaryota; Viridiplantae; Streptophyta; Magnoliopsida; Poales; Poaceae.